UACGAAGGGGGCUAGCGUUGCUCGGAAUCACUGGGCGUAAAGGGUGCGUAGGCGGGUCUUUAAGUCGGGGGUGAAAUCCUGGAGCUCAACUCCAGAACUGCCUUUGAUAUUGAAGAUCUUGAGUUCGGGAGAGGUGAGUGGAACUGCGAGUGUAGAGGUGAAAUUCGUAGAUAUUCGCAAGAACACCAGUGGCGAAGGCGGCUCACUGGCUCGGUACUGACGCUGAGGUGCGAAAGCGUGGGGAGCAAACAGG
This 253-nucleotide ribosomal RNA is filed under the name uncultured bacterium. RNAcentral's name for it is "partial 16S ribosomal RNA". It matches the Rfam family "Bacterial small subunit ribosomal RNA", at positions 524 to 776 of the family's 1533-position model. The record is from RNAcentral.